This 172-nucleotide unclassified non-coding RNA is filed under the name uncultured fungus. Its description in RNAcentral is "sequence contains ITS1, 5.8S rRNA gene". The record is from RNAcentral. Lineage: Eukaryota; Fungi.
ACAAUAUAACUAUCCACACUCGUGUUUGCACACAAGGCUGGUGGUGGUGUGUCGAUCACAUAUCGUCGUCGUCAUUCAUCAUCAUCAUCCUUGUGUGUGUAUUCACACACACUAACAUUCACAAUUGACAACCAAUGGAGAACCAAACAAUAUUAUUAAUUGUUUACAAAAA